Paramacrobiotus metropolitanus is the source of this 639-nucleotide long non-coding RNA. RefSeq lists it as uncharacterized. The transcript is spliced from 2 exons. The record is from RefSeq and is a predicted model, not a curated record. NCBI's taxonomy places the organism in Eukaryota, Metazoa, Tardigrada, Eutardigrada, Parachela, Macrobiotidae.
UGUACAGUACACUGGGCUUCAAAAUGACUCUGUCAACGCAUACCCAUUAACCACCGGUGCGUAUAGCGCUAUCGCUGUGGGCAUUACCACUUUUAUGGCGUCCAACGUACAGUGUACGUCAAAAAUUCUGUUUAUUUUGAACACCUGCAUUCCUUACAAAGGUAAAGGGUAAAGCUCGAUCCAGCGACCUCCUUUGGCCUUGAUUUUUUCUUGUAUCCCGCGAAAUGCAGCUUCUCAGUGACAUUAGAAGGGGAUACUGGGGAAACGGGAAUAUUGGGCACGAGUGGAACAGCGUGGACGUGCUGAUCGACGGGCGCGCGAAACCGGUCGUCUCUAUAGCGCAUCCGGUAUAAAUGCGGUGCACCCUGUAUAUAUGCACAUGGAAGCGUAGCUCGGCGCUGUCGACGGUCCCGCUGUAACCCGCGGGCAACAAUGCGGCGCGCGAAACCGGUCGUAUAUACAUUGCAUCCGGUUUAUAUGCAACGCGCAUUAUAUAUACAUUUCUGUAUUUCUAUAUUUCUGUAUUUCUUUUCUAUAUUUCUAGUUUUCUGUAUUUCGGCAUUCAAUACUACUUUCUUCUUGAUAUACUGAUCUGUUAAUAAUUUCUAUUCGAAAAACCAAAAAAGCUCCACACAACGA